RNAcentral lists this ribosomal RNA (486 nucleotides) under uncultured bacterium. RNAcentral's name for it is "bacterial SSU rRNA". It matches the Rfam family "Bacterial small subunit ribosomal RNA", at positions 39 to 512 of the family's 1533-position model. The record is from RNAcentral.
GCGGCAGGCCUAACACAUGCAAGUCGAGCGGCAGCGGGAAAGUAGCUUGCUACUUUUGCCGGCGAGCGGCGGACGGGUGAGUAAUGCCUGGGAAAUUGCCCAGUCGAGGGGGAUAACAGUUGGAAACGACUGCUAAUACCGCAUACGCCCUACGGGGGAAAGCAGGGGACCUUCGGGCCUUGCGCGAUUGGAUAUGCCCAGGUGGGAUUAGCUAGUUGGUGAGGUAAUGGCUCACCAAGGCGACGAUCCCUAGCUGGUCUGAGAGGAUGAUCAGCCACACUGGAACUGAGACACGGUCCAGACUCCUACGGGAGGCAGCAGUGGGGAAUAUUGCACAAUGGGGGAAACCCUGAUGCAGCCAUGCCGCGUGUGUGAAGAAGGCCUUCGGGUUGUAAAGCACUUUCAGCGAGGAGGAAAGGUCAGUAGCUAAUAUCUGCUGGCUGUGACGUUACUCGCAGAAGAAGCACCGGCUAACUCCGUGCCAGC